GAAGGGCAAAGAGUGCGAUAUC
RNAcentral lists this microRNA (22 nucleotides) under Caenorhabditis elegans. The record is from RNAcentral. Lineage: Eukaryota; Metazoa; Nematoda; Chromadorea; Rhabditida; Rhabditidae.